UCUCCGUUGGUGAACCAGCGGAGGGAUCAUUACC
Molecule: ribosomal RNA, 34 nt
Filed under: Metarhizium anisopliae
Lineage: Eukaryota; Fungi; Ascomycota; Sordariomycetes; Hypocreales; Clavicipitaceae
Also listed under: 10 other names
Description: partial 18S ribosomal RNA
Source: RNAcentral